RNAcentral lists this non-coding RNA (20 nucleotides) under Arabidopsis thaliana (thale cress). The record is from RNAcentral. Lineage: Eukaryota; Viridiplantae; Streptophyta; Magnoliopsida; Brassicales; Brassicaceae.
UGUAUUGCGGGUGACUUUUG